UACAGAGGUCCCAAGCGUUGUUCGGAUUCACUGGGCGUAAAGGGUGCGUAGGCGGUCGCGCAAGUUUGACGUGAAAUCUCCGGGCUCAACCCGGAAAUUGCGUUGGAUACUGCACGGCUUGAGGAAUGGAAGGGAGACUGGAAUGCUCGGUGUAGCAGUGAAAUGCGUAGAUAUCGAGCGGAACACCAGUGGCGAAGGCGAGUCUCUGGACAUUUCCUGACGCUGAGGCACGAAAGCCAGGGGAGCAAACGGG
RNAcentral lists this ribosomal RNA (253 nucleotides) under uncultured bacterium. RNAcentral describes it as "partial 16S ribosomal RNA". It matches the Rfam family "Bacterial small subunit ribosomal RNA", at positions 524 to 776 of the family's 1533-position model. The record is from RNAcentral.